RNAcentral lists this ribosomal RNA (505 nucleotides) under Vibrio parahaemolyticus. RNAcentral describes it as "bacterial SSU rRNA". It matches the Rfam family "Bacterial small subunit ribosomal RNA", at positions 38 to 520 of the family's 1533-position model. Lineage: Bacteria; Pseudomonadati; Pseudomonadota; Gammaproteobacteria; Vibrionales; Vibrionaceae. The record is from RNAcentral.
GGGCCUUGGGCGGCAGCUACACAUGCAGUCGAGCGGAACGAGUUAUCUGAACCUUCGGGGGACGAUAACGGCGUCGAGCGGCGGACGGGUGAGUAAUGCCUAGGAAAUUGCCCUGAUGUGGGGGAUAACCAUUGGAAACGAUGGCUAAUACCGCAUGAUGCCUACGGGCCAAAGAGGGGGACCUUCGGGCCUCUCGCGUCAGGAUAUGCCUAGGUGGGAUUAGCUAGUUGGUGAGGUAAGGGCUCACCAAGGCGACGAUCCCUAGCUGGUCUGAGAGGAUGAUCAGCCACACUGGAACUGAGACACGGUCCAGACUCCUACGGGAGGCAGCAGUGGGGAAUAUUGCACAAUGGGCGCAAGCCUGAUGCAGCCAUGCCGCGUGUGUGAAGAAGGCCUUCGGGUUGUAAAGCACUUUCAGUCGUGAGGAAGGUAGUGUAGUUAAUAGCUGCAUUAUUUGACGUUAGCGACAGAAGAAGCACCGGCUAACUCUGUGCAGCAGCCGCAA